UACGAGGGGGGCGAGCGUUGUUCGGAAUUAUUGGGCGUAAAGGGUGCGUAGGCGGUUUUGUAAGUCUUAUGUGAAAUCUACAGGCUCAACUUGUAGUCUGCAUGAGAAACUGCAGGGCUUGAGUAUGGGAGAGGUGAGUGGAAUUCCUGGUGUAGCGGUGAAAUGCGUAGAUAUCGGGAGGAACACCUGUGGCGAAAGCGGCUCACUGGGUCUCUUCUGACGCUGAGGCACGAAAGCUAGGGUAGCGAACGGG
Molecule: ribosomal RNA, 253 nt
Filed under: uncultured bacterium
Lineage: Bacteria
Description: partial 16S ribosomal RNA
Rfam family: Bacterial small subunit ribosomal RNA
Source: RNAcentral